Molecule: ribosomal RNA, 406 nt
Filed under: uncultured bacterium
Lineage: Bacteria
Description: partial 16S ribosomal RNA
Rfam family: Bacterial small subunit ribosomal RNA
Source: RNAcentral
AUUGAACGCUGGCGGCAGGCCUAACACAUGCAAGUCGAACGAGUGGCGGACGGGUGAGUAAUGUCUGGGAAACUGCCUGAUGGAGGGGGAUAACUACUGGAAACGGUAGCUAAUACCGCAUACCAUCAGAUGUGCCCAGAUGGGAUUAGCUAGUUGGUGGGGUAACGGCUCACCAAGGCGACGAUCCCUCACUGGUCUGAGAGGAUGACCAGCCACACUGGAACUGAUACACUGUCCAGACUCCUACGGGAGGCAGCAGUGGGGAAUAUUGCACAAUGGGCGCAAGCCUGAUGCAGCCAUGCCGCGGGUAUGAAGAAGGCCUUCGGGUUGUAAAGUACUUUCAGCGGGGAGGCGUUACCCGCAGAAGAAGCACCGGCUAACUCCGUGCCAGCAGCCGCGGUAAUAC